This is a long non-coding RNA of Xenopus laevis (African clawed frog), 2420 nucleotides long. RefSeq lists it as uncharacterized. NCBI's taxonomy places the organism in Eukaryota, Metazoa, Chordata, Amphibia, Anura, Pipidae. The record is from RefSeq and is a predicted model, not a curated record. The transcript is spliced from 2 exons.
UGCUUGACCCGAGUAUAAGCCGAGGUAGACUUUUUCAGCAUAUUUUGGGGGCUGAAAAACUCGGCUUAUACUCGAGUAUAUACGGUACUUAGGCUUGCUUUGUGCCAUUGCUGGAGCCAGAGGAAGGCAGAGCAGAUAGCUGGCUGGGGUAUAUCAAGAACCCAGUAAUAACCGGAUAUUGCACCACUCCUAGAUAUUUGCACUACGUUAGCAGCAAUGUGCAUCUGGUUAUGUGUAUUUUUCAGAUUGCAGGGCCUAACACAUGACUGUAUAUAUAUGUAGAACAAUGUAUAAUACUUGUGACCCACCGAAGGCUCAGGAGGAGCUAAAUUUGAAGUUGUUAUAGGAUGGUGUAUCUUUUCAUUUGGUACUAACACACCCCUUCUAGCUGGAACAAACAAAAGUUAUUUUCAUGUAGAGAAAGAAGUUUUGUUACCUCUUACUUGUCCCUCUGCAUUUUGUUUAGGAUGACCUGCCUGUGGUUAUUCACACAUUACUGGGCGAUCUGAGCAGCUACAAAGAGGAGAAUGGAAUUUUGGUGCCGGAGAAGCCCACUGAGGCCAAGAAUUGCUUAAAAGCUAGGACUUUAUUUUAUCUGACGGUGUAUCCUGUGCAGAGCCCCCAGAACCGGUUCUGUAUCCUGACAAUGAAUCCAGAUACUCUUCCAUCAGUUUCCACCAUACUUUUGUAUGUGCGGUUAUAUUCCCAUCCAUGAGUGUCUGUGCCAGUGGUGAGGGACCCUAAAAGAGCUGCUCUUGUUUUCCAUGGCUUCCUUUCCAGAGUUGGAUUACUAUCUGGAAAUAUAUAUAUAUAUAUCUUCAUAUGUACUCGAUCUCUGGAAUGAACUCGGGCCACUUCUUGCAACUGCCUCAUUAACAUUAUGUUCUGUGAAUUUUCUUUGCAGUCUCCAAAAAGACACUUCUGCAGAUUCCCAGGAUCUGGGCUUCUUUCACUUUUUUGCCUUCUCCUUGAUAGACGGGUAUAUCUCAAUAGUCAUGGACAUGGAAACACAGGAGAAGUAUGUGAAGCUUUGGGUUUCAGGGCUAGAGAAAUCACUCAUAGGGAAAGCAACUGUGUUAUCUAUUCUACUGGUCCUGUAGAUGGUGGCAGCCAAGAAAAAGAGUGUGUGUAUGUGUGUAUAUACCUGUAUAUAUAACAGUUGAAAAUGGACCAGCACUCCAAUUUAAUCAAAUAAUAGUGUUUUUAUUCAGACAUCACUAUGCAUCCAACGUUUUGGCCCGCAUUGGGGCCUUUAUCCUUGAAAAAGGCCCCAAUGCGGGCGAAACGUUGGAUAAAAUUCCUCGUAAACCAGUGUUUAGCUAUUCUCGUAACACUAAUCUGAAAGAGCAUCUAAGCCCAUUUGACCCGGUGCAAAAAUAUUUGCAGUCGAGAGCUACACACUUUUUUACACCACGUCCUGGGGUGUUUAGAUGCACGGGGUGUGUGGUUUGCAACACAUUGAUUACUGGAUCAGAGUUCAGACACCCCAAAACAGGCAAACAAUAUAAAAUUAGACACAGGAUGACUUGUACUACUACAAUGGUGGUAUAUGUGAUUAAAUGUCCCUGUGUUCUGAUGAAUUGCGGUAAAACUGUAAGGCAACUCAAGGAAAGGAUCAAUAUGCACAGGGCAAGUAUCAGGGCUGUAUUAGACCCAGAUAGGAGGGUGGACCCCGAUAAGCAGGACAUUGCCCAGCAACCUGUUGCGAAACAUUGGCGUGAGGCCAGGCAUGAUCCAUCCCAAUUUAAAUGUAUGCCUAUAGACCAUAUACCGACGCCACAGAAAGGUGGAGAUAUUGUGAUUACUGUUGAAACUAAAGCCUUCUGGAUUUAUGAACUUGACUGUGUCGCCCCUAAGGGGUUAAAUGGACAGCUGCAAUUAAAUUGUUUUUGACAUAGGGGUCUGAUAUGGUGUAUGAUGCCAUGAAUGUGAGCUUUUUGAUCAAUCAUAUUAACAUAUGCCCUUUUCGUCUUACAGAAUCAUGUUGAAUCAAAUAUAAUCACAUAUCUUGUUUCACCUCUGUAAGUAACCAUCAUUUUCUUUUUCAUCUACAUGCAACAAGAAGUAUCCAAUACAAAGCUCUUUUUUAUACAAUGUUUAUUGUUCAGUUUUAAAUACAAUGUUUCCUUUUUUCAUGGACACUUUUCAGUAUAGAAUGUGGACACUGACAUCUGCUGGCGGAAAGCAGAAUUGCACACUGGCACUAAAAGACUGAAAAAGAAAAAACUUUGUUCUGACGCUUCUAAUUGGUCACAUGACGUCAUUUUUGGCGCCCUAAUUCACUAAUGGGGGUGGGUAUUUAAUGUUGGUAUCACUGUUACACAAUAUCCUUGAAAAAGGUCCCCAGGUGGAACCGAAACGUCGGAUUAAGAUGUAUACUUGAUCACUUGACAAUAAAAGCAUUUUUUCUUCAUAUUCAA